Molecule: ribosomal RNA, 253 nt
Filed under: uncultured bacterium
Lineage: Bacteria
Description: partial 16S ribosomal RNA
Rfam family: Bacterial small subunit ribosomal RNA
Source: RNAcentral
UACGGAGGGUGCAAGCGUUAUCCGGAUUCACUGGGUUUAAAGGGUGCGUAGGUGGGUUGAUAAGUCAGUGGUGAAAUCCCCGAGCUUAACUUGGGAACUGCCAUUGAUACUAUUGAUCUUGAAUACCGUGGAGGUCAGCGGAAUAUGUCAUGUAGCGGUGAAAUGCUUAGAUAUAACAUAGAACACCAAUUGCGAAGGCAGCUGGCUACGCGAAUAUUGACACUGAUGCACGAAAGCGUGGGGAUCAAACAGG